UGGUGGAGUGAUUUGUCUGGUUAAUUCCGUUAACGAACGAGACCUCAGCCUACUAAAUAGUUAUGCAAAUCUUUCUAUCCAAGGCGGCGUCGGCCUGUGCCGUUGGGCUUGCCUGGCGGUGCAGUUCGCUGGCGUGCCUAGUCAGAUUUGUAGACAACUUCUUAGAGGGACUAAUGGUGUUUAGCCAUUGGAAGUUUGAGGCAAUAACA
RNAcentral lists this ribosomal RNA (209 nucleotides) under uncultured eukaryote. Its description in RNAcentral is "partial 18S ribosomal RNA". It matches the Rfam family "Eukaryotic small subunit ribosomal RNA", at positions 1299 to 1458 of the family's 1831-position model. The record is from RNAcentral.